Humulus lupulus (European hop) is the source of this 338-nucleotide long non-coding RNA. RefSeq lists it as uncharacterized. Lineage: Eukaryota; Viridiplantae; Streptophyta; Magnoliopsida; Rosales; Cannabaceae. The transcript has 3 exons. The record is from RefSeq and is a predicted model, not a curated record.
GGAUAGGGAUGCCAAUGGCGGAGGAAGAAGUCGGAGUUCGACCUCGAGCUCGAUUUCGAGUACCGAGUCUAGCUUGUUUCUUUCUCGGAGCCAAACUUAUGCUCUGUUGAAGCAGCAAAUGGAAGUGGCGGCAAAAUCUGAGGACUAUGAAGAGGCGGCGAGGAUUCGUGACUUGUUGAAGUUAUUCGAAGAAGAGGAGCCGGUUUUGCGACUAAGAAGGUUGAUUAAGGAGGCAGUUGCAGAUGAAAGGUUCAAGGAUGCAGCUAACUAUCGCGAAGAGCUGAGAGAAAUUGCGCCCCACUCUCUUUUGAAAUGCUCAAGUGAUGCAACAAGCUUGG